CUCAGGAUGAACGCUGGCGGCGUGCCUAAUACAUGCAAGUCGAGCGAACAGAUGAGAAGCUUGCUUCUCUGAUGUUAGCGGCGGACGGGUGAGUAACACGUGGGUAACCUACCUAUAAGACUGGGAUAACUCCGGGAAACCGGGGCUAAUACCGGAUAAUAUUUUGAACCGCAUGGUUCAAUAGUGAAAGACGGUUUCGGCUGUCACUUAUAGAUGGACCCGCGCCGUAUUAGCUAGUUGGUAAGGUAACGGCUUACCAAGGCGACGAUACGUAGCCGACCUGAGAGGGUGAUCGGCCACACUGGAACUGAGACACGGUCCAGACUCCUACGGGAGGC
Molecule: ribosomal RNA, 338 nt
Filed under: Mammaliicoccus sciuri
Lineage: Bacteria; Bacillati; Bacillota; Bacilli; Caryophanales; Staphylococcaceae
Description: bacterial SSU rRNA
Rfam family: Bacterial small subunit ribosomal RNA
Source: RNAcentral